GUAUACUUUUAUUUGAUUAGGAACGUUCCAUUUUGAAUUUUUCUCGGAGUUCAUAUUUUUGUGAUUUUACUUUUCACUUAUCAUACAUUUGAAGGAAGUUCUAUUUUAUUCUAUUUAAUAAAAGCAAAAUACAGUGUUUGGACUUUGCAGCUAGGAAGAAUAACACUAACUUAUUGUGAGCUGAACGAAAACAUGUUUUGUCUUUUAUUUGUACAUACGUUACAAGGAUCUAUUUCUUUUUUAAAAUCAAGUAAUUUAUUCUGAGAAGAC
RNAcentral lists this long non-coding RNA (270 nucleotides) under Mytilus galloprovincialis (Mediterranean mussel). Lineage: Eukaryota; Metazoa; Mollusca; Bivalvia; Mytilida; Mytilidae. The record is from RNAcentral.